AGUUCAAAAGUAUAUUUCGCUUACUCAGCAGCGAAAAUACACUCUCUGGUGUAAUCAAAUAACAUCUAGAGAUUGUUCAUUUAAUCAAUAUCGUCAUUAAAAUGAAGCAAUAUAUAACAAUUUUAUCACCUAACAUCGUUGGUCAGAAUUCAAAAAUUUAUUGGAUCAAAUCAGUUUUAUGGUAAUUUUUUAAUCUAUCCAGACAGUGAUAAGUGAUUUGGAUGCAGUAAUAAAGAGUCUGGUGUCGAUGUUUGAAAUGUUCAUUCAAGUUAAAGUCACGGUCAGAGGUGGAUUUGUGAAACUUAAAAAAUAUUCGAUAAGAAUUUGUGCACUUCAAAUCAAAUGAUGACAAAAUGACAGUUGACGAUGAGGUGUACGAUAUUGAAUAUAUUUAGAAGGACAUUGGCGGUGCGUAAGUAUUCGUUUCGUGAACCGAAGAAGAAAAUUUCAUUUCAUGAUAAUGAAACAAAUAAUAAAUGUAUAAUAAAAAGCCCCACCGUUGUUCAGAUUCGGUAAAUAUCAAAUUUACAACUAUUUUAUGUUAUCGUACUCAAUAUUUCUGGCUGGCUUUUUGGUACUGGACUGUGUGUUUGCCACACUAAGCAUUGAUCACAGGUAGGUCACUAAUUAAAUGAGAAUUCAGAUAGAAAUGGUCUUUUUGACACUUGACAGCUCUUAAAAAGGUGCAAAAUAGAUGAAUGUGAUGACGCAGACAUAGGAGAUGCAAUAUUCGAGCCGAACUGAUUACAAUAUUCAACUCCGUACAUUAAUGGCAAACCCGAUUCGUUUCAUCGUUACGCGAUCCCCAAAAGUGUUCGCAAUCAAAAUGAAUACGUUUGUGAUAUUGAUUUAUCUAACCGUUACGACUUCGGUACACUAUGGCAAUGGAACAUUGAUAUUUCGCACUGAUGAAGUAUCCAUUGUCAAUGAGGUAAGGCUCUCAUUCACCCAAGUUUUUUUCAUGCAUAACAAUUUAUCCCAUGGGUCAGGUAGCCACUGCUUUGAUCACAGCAUAUCUACAUUAUUACCAGGUAUUUUUUUUUUAAAUUUCUUCGUCGAAUUCUUUUUCUCCAAUUUUUUGGCACAUAAAAUUCAAUGAAUCUAGAAUUAAUACUUAUUGUAAAUCCAAUUUUUACUUGUAAUUCAAGUGGCUCCUAAGAGUGAUUGCCCUGUUUGGUUUCGCAACGUUUCCAUUUUUCUGGAUAUUGCCCGAGAGUUUCCGAUGGCUUUUGGUGCAUCGAAAGCAUAAAAAAGCGGUAAAAAUGAUCGAAAAAGCAGCCAAAGUCAAUGGAUUAACACUUUCCCCCAAAGACAUACGACAUAAUCGCAUCGAAAUGUAAAAAUGGAAAUUCCGAUGAGAAUUCCAGUAAAGACAACGUGACUGUCAAAUUUAAUUCUGCGAUUCUUGGAUAUUAUCACAAACUUUUCGUUAGCCGCUCGCUUAGCAAUGUGCACAUUUUGUCUAGGGGAAUAUCACGCUUAAAUUAUUUCAAAUAUUUCAAAAAAAUCCAAUUUAUCUCUAAGAAUCUGUCGUAUGAAAUAUGGUGGAUAUUUGUGAAUACGGCGGAAUAUUGUGGAUUUUUGUGAUUAUGAAUGAUAUUUGAAUGUAUUUAUUCGGAUUUAAUGCAAAAAAUCUCAAAUAUCUCCAAAAUCCACAAAAAUCUGAUUUAUUUAUUCGAAAUAAUCGAAAAUAUGUCAUACAACUAAUGUUUAUUUCAAAUAUCUCAAAUAUCUCACAAGAUUCAGGAGCGUGAUAUUCCCCUAGCAUUUUGUUGGAUUUCAUCCACAUUGAUAACAUAUGGUGCGUCAAUACUGUCGGUGUCAAUGCCAGGGGACAAAUACGUGAAUUUUAUGGUUAUCGCAUUGACUGGUAUGCCAAGCAUUCUUUUCACAUACACAAUGUUAAAGUACAUGAACAGAGGAUGGGCUUUGUCCAUCUCAUUCCUAAUGACUGGAAUAUCGAUUCUUGCCUCAAAAUACUAUUCCUGGAAUGCGACGAUAUCGUUAUUAAUUUUCUUUUUGGCCAAACUUGUUAUUCAUCAUUCGUUUACGUCUCUUUAUGUGUACACAAAUGAAAUGUGGCCGACAGUACUCCACCACAGAGUUGUAAGUUUGUGUCUAAUGAUCGGACGUAUUGGAUCGAUUACUGCACCACUUUCUCCGCUGCUGGUAAAUAGAUGAUUACAAAUGUGUGCAAAUAAUAACCAUUUUUGUUGUUCAUUUGGGUUUUAGGGAACUGUACUUGAAAUGCUGCCAUUCUAUUUAUUCAGUGGAUUUGCAGGCCUAUCAGCUAUUAUGAUGUUGUUUUUGCCAGAAACGUUUCGACAAGAGAAGCUCCCCGAUUCAAUUGACGACAUCAGAAAAAUGAAAAAAUAAAAACAGUACCAACACCAAUGAACAGUGAAAAUGUUGUAUCGGCGGGUCGACUCGAAUCAAUUAAGAUUGAAUGACAGGUCAACGAUCUUACAAUUUUAUCUUUUUAUCAAUAACACACGAUAGAAAAUGCAAACGACUGCAAUGUAAUGAAAGUAGGACACAACUCGCCGCUGUAAGAUGUUAGUUAUGUACACUCUACAUACCAUCAGUGUACUCAUUUGCGGUGUUCUUUAUUCAAAGUGAAUAAUGUACUUCUGUGUCUCUUCGGGUGCGAGAUGAUGUUUUGAAAACACAAAUUAUUAUCUGAGCAACGAGAUAAACAUGAGGUUUUCAGUAUAGCAUGGUCUACCAUUUGCGCCAUCUUGGUCAAAAUAGCGAAUGGUUAAAACAGUUAUCUCUUAUCUCUUAUCAGUUACACGAAAACCGUGAAGAACCACGACAACACAAGGCAUACCAACAUACUCUACUUAAACGCCAACGAAACCAUCAGAAUACAUACUCGCCUUUUCAAAAAUAUAAAUCGAAGAAAAAACAUACAUGAAUUUUUCAUUGAUACACAAGGCUAACCAAAAUCUUUACGAACGAAUUCCGUGAUAAAAAUAAUGUUUGGGCCUAAAGCAUUUCAUAUAUUAAUAUAUUUGAUCAAUUUAAUGAAAGAACAAUUUAUGAAUGAAUAUAAAACUUUUGCAUAUAAAAAAUAAAAAUAUUAUAGAAAAAUGUAUAAAAA
Molecule: RNA transcript, 3103 nt
Organism: Sitodiplosis mosellana (orange wheat blossom midge)
Lineage: Eukaryota; Metazoa; Arthropoda; Insecta; Diptera; Cecidomyiidae
Gene name: organic cation/carnitine transporter 2-like
Exons: 2
Source: RefSeq, a predicted model, not a curated record